CUCCUUUGACGUUAGCGGCGGACGGGUGAGUAACACGUGGGUAACCUACCUAUAAGACUGGGAUAACUUCGGGAAACCGGAGCUAAUACCGGAUAAUAUUUCGAACCGCAUGGUUCGAUAGUGAAAGAUGGUUUUGCUAUCACUUAUAGAUGGACCCGCGCCGUAUUAGCUAGUUGGUAAGGUAACGGCUUACCAAGGCGACGAUACGUAGCCGACCUGAGAGGGUGAUCGGCCACACUGGAACUUAGACACGGUCCAGACUCCUACGGGAGGCAGCAGCC
Molecule: ribosomal RNA, 281 nt
Filed under: uncultured Staphylococcus sp.
Lineage: Bacteria; Bacillati; Bacillota; Bacilli; Caryophanales; Staphylococcaceae
Description: partial 16S ribosomal RNA
Rfam family: Bacterial small subunit ribosomal RNA
Source: RNAcentral